UGUGUGUGUGUGUGUGUGUGUGUGUGUGUGUGUGUGUAGGCAUAUGUGGUUUAUGAGACCAAUUUUCAGGUUUACAUACCAGCAUUACAAGACCAUUCGGUUUAUGAGACCAUUUUGUGUGGUCUCGUAAUUCUGGAAAUUUGAAUUGUUAUAAUUAAUGACUAAUAAUAAUUCUAAAAAUUAUUAAUGCUUGUAUGUUUACUAUAUUAAUACUUUUAUUAAGUAUUGUCGCUAUUUUACUGUUAUGACACUCCCUACCUUUUUUAUGACGUUUAUAAACAUGGUCCUCUUAAACCAUGAUGUGUCUGUGUGAACUCGGAACAGUGCCCCUGUAGGUGGGAAUUGGUAUUGCGUGGUAUACACAUUCGCGCCAUAUUACACACAUAUUCGCGCCAGAUUACACACAAAUUCGCGCCAAGUGCCAUUGACGGAACAGUCAAGGAGAUUUGCAGCAGAACAAACGCAGCAGCUGGAUCUGUGGGGAUAAAAUGAUUCGGAGUCAUCGGAGAAGAGGACCAAAUCCUCUGAAAGAUGCAGAAAUCCAUGAACAAAAGGGCAAGGACAAAGACAACAUAACCAGAAAAUAUAUUAAUCCCAUCAAAGCUCGUCCAUGAGCCUGUCGUUUCAGGAAGUGAAGUCACAUCUCCUAAAGAGCUCGUCCAUGAGCCUGUCGUUUCAGGAAGUGAAGUCACAUCUCCUAAAGAGCUUGUCCAUGAGCCUGUCGUUUCAGGAAGUGAAGUCACAUCUCCUAAAGAGCUCGUCCAUGAGCCUGUCGCUUCAGGAAGUGAAGUCACAUCUCUUAAAGAGGUAAUAAUGGUAAGAUCCCAGCAGGAAGCUAGAAGGCCAGGCAGUGGCAAUGAUGAGCCUUUGAAAAGGAGGAAACCAUGCCUGAAGUACCCAUCUGAAGGAACAAACACUUGUCAUAAAUGUCUCUCAAAACAAUGUCUCUGGCAGAGGAAAGGGUACGCUCAAAAAACCCUGGACAAAAGCUGAAGUGAGUGGUAAAUGGACUGCAUUUUAUAUAGCGCUUUUAACAGACCUAUGGCCAUCCAAAGCGCUUUACAAUUUGCCUCACAUUCACCCAUUCACUCUCUCAUUCAUACACCGACGGUGGUGUGAGCCAUGCAAGGGGCCAUCCAGCUCAUCAGGAGCAGCUGGGGUUAGAUGUCUUGCUCAAAGACACCUCGACACUUGAUCAGGUGGAGCCGGGGAUUAAACCACCAACCUUCCGGUUUGUGGACAACCUACAUGAACCACUGAGCCACUGCCGCCCCAGUGAACGCUGUAAUGUGACACUUCAGAUCUCACAUCAGCAAAGGUUACUUGGCGUCAGUGAGAGAAUGUGAGGUCUGUAAAAGAUGUGAGCAUCCAGUGCUACAAAAUAGGACAGAGCAAAAUCUCAGAGAGUUUGUUUGAAACCGAGGGCUUACCUUUAAGCGCAUGGAAAAGUGAGUCAAAAUGUUCAGAAUGUAAUGCUGUUGAUUUUAAAGUAACGUUUUGUAAUUGCCGUCAUUGAAGGAACACGGCAACAUUUUGGGAAUUUAGCUUAUUCACCGUAUUCCCCAGAGUUAAAUAAGUCCAUACAUAUUUUUCUGUGCCUGCUGUAAC
This is a non-coding RNA of Misgurnus anguillicaudatus (oriental weatherfish), 1608 nucleotides long. NCBI's taxonomy places the organism in Eukaryota, Metazoa, Chordata, Actinopteri, Cypriniformes, Cobitidae. The record is from RefSeq and is a predicted model, not a curated record.